CAACUACCGCUCAGGGCCGGAAAGCUCUCCAAAACUCCGGUCAUUUAGAGGAAGUAAAAGUCGUAACAAGGUCUCCGUUGGUGAACCAGCGGAGGGAUCAUUACCGAGUUUACAACUCCCAAACCCCUGUGAACAUACCUUAUGUUGCCUCGGCGGAUCAGCCCGCGCCCCGUAAAAAGGGACGGCCCGCCGCAGGAACCCUAAACUCUGUUUUUAGUGGAACUUCUGAGUAUAAAAAACAAAUAAAUCAAAACUUUCAACAACGGAUCUCUUGGUUCUGGCAUCGAUGAAGAACGCAGCAAAAUGCGAUAAGUAAUGUGAAUUGCAGAAUUCAGUGAAUCAUCGAAUCUUUGAACGCACAUUGCGCCCGCCAGUAUUCUGGCGGGCAUGCCUGUUCGAGCGUCAUUUCAACCCUCAAGCCCAGCUUGGUGUUGGGAGCUGCAGUCCUGCUGCACUCCCCAAAUACAUUGGCGGUCACGUCGAGCUUCCAUAGCGUAGUAAUUUACACAUCGUUACUGGUAAUCGUCGCGGCCACGCCGUUAAACCCCAACUUCUGAAUGUUGACCUCGGAUCAGGUAGGAAUACCCGCUGAACUUAAGCAUAUCAAUAAGCGGAGGAAAAGAAACCAACAGGGAUUGCCCUAGUAACGGCGAGUGAAGCGGCAACAGCUCAAAUUUGAAAUCUGGCUUUCGGGCCCGAGUUGUAAUUUGUAGAGGAUGAUUUGAUGCGGUGCCUUCCGAGUUCCUGGA
Molecule: ribosomal RNA, 749 nt
Filed under: Fusarium sp. UFMGCB_536
Lineage: Eukaryota; Fungi; Ascomycota; Sordariomycetes; Hypocreales; Nectriaceae
Description: eukaryotic LSU rRNA
Rfam family: 5.8S ribosomal RNA (bases 252-405)
Source: RNAcentral